RNAcentral lists this ribosomal RNA (404 nucleotides) under uncultured bacterium. RNAcentral's name for it is "bacterial SSU rRNA". It matches the Rfam family "Bacterial small subunit ribosomal RNA", at positions 355 to 776 of the family's 1533-position model. The record is from RNAcentral.
UUAGGAAUCUUGGACAAUGGGCGCAAGCCUGAUCCAGCCAUGCCGCGUGAGUGAUGAAGGCCUUCGGGUUGUAAAGCUCUUUAGCCGAUGAAUAUAAUGACUGUAGUCGGAAAAUAAGCCCCGGCUAACUUCGUGCCAGCAGCCGCGGUAAUACGAAGGGGGCGAGCGUUAUUCGGAAUCACUGGGCGUAAAGCGUGCGUAGGCGGCGAUGAAAGUUAGAAGUGAAAGCCCAGGGCUUAACCUUGGAAUUGCUUUUAAAACUACAUCGCUAGAAUUCGGGAGAGGAUAGCGGAAUUGUCAGUGUAGCAGUGAAAUGCGUAGAUAUUGACAGGAACACCAGUGGCGUAAGCGGCUAUCUGGACCGACAUUGACGCUGAGGCACGAAAGCGUGGGGAUCAAACAGG